Long non-coding RNA from Carassius gibelio (silver crucian carp), 1763 nucleotides. RefSeq lists it as uncharacterized. The transcript is spliced from 4 exons. NCBI's taxonomy places the organism in Eukaryota, Metazoa, Chordata, Actinopteri, Cypriniformes, Cyprinidae. The record is from RefSeq and is a predicted model, not a curated record.
CCCGAAUGUGAGUGCUGGCUUUAAAUUGCACGUCGUGAAGUGAGUUUGCAGUGGCUAAAAUUGAUGUUUUCCCCCACAAUAUAUGUUUGAAGUGGAAUUGUCGUGUGUGUGUGUAAGCUACAUUCCUGUUUGCCAUGCACUCUCUAUGUGUCAUGAGGGCUGACUGUCAAUAUUAAGAGUCCUGCGACACUGAUUUGUUCCAACUGUCUGGAUGUUGAGGAUUUAUCAUCUGGGAUGUGAAUUAACCCCUCUGUUGUGCUAAUAGGAGAAGAGAUGCCCUGUUGAAAUAUUUACUAUCUGCCUCAGAAAAGCUCUGUGCAACCUGUUGACUUCGAGUCUGCUGUAUCCCUGCCAUUCAACUGUAUGAAGAAGCCCCAUUCAGCCUGUUGACUUCGAGUCUGCUGUAUCCCUGCCAUUCAACUGUAUGGUGAGAAGUGUUCGCUCCUUCCAAUACAUGUGAACUGUAUACUUGCUUGAAACAUCCAUUCUGUCUGUCUCAGAAGAAGCCCAUAUUCAGCCUGUUGACUUCGAGUCUGCUGUAUCCCUGCCAUUCAACUGUAUGGUGAGAAGUGUUCGUUCCUUCCACUGCAUGUGAACUGUAUACUUGCCUGAAACAUCCAUUCUGUCCGUCUCAGAAGAAGCCCCAUUCAGCCUGUUGACUUCGAGUCUGCUGUAUCCCUGCUAUUCGUCUGUAUUGUGAGAAGUGUUCGUUCCUUCCAAUGCAUGUGAACUGUAUACUUGCCUGAAACAUCCAUUCUGUCUGUCUCAGAAGAAGCCCAUAUCCAGCCUGUUGACUUCGAGUCUGCUGUAUCCCUGCCAUUCAACUGUAUGGAGAGAAGUGUUCGUUCCUUCCACUGCCUGUGAACUGUAUACUUGCCUGAAACAUCCAUUCUGUCCGUCUCAGAAGAAGCCCCAUUCAGCCUGUUGACUUCGAGUCUGCUGUAUCCCUGCUAUUCGCCUGUAUUGUGAGAAGUGUUCGUUCCUUCCAAUGCAUGUGAACUGUAUACUUGCCUGAAACAUCCAUUCUGUCUGUCUCAGAAGAAGCCCCAUUCAGCCUGUUGACUUCGAGUCUGCUGUAUCCCUGCCAUUCAACUGUAUGAAGAAGCCCAUAUUCAGCCUGUUGACUUCGAGUCUGCUGUAUCCCUGCCAUUCAACUGUAUGUAGAAACCCUGCACAGCCUGUUGACUUAGAGUUUGUUGCAUCCUUGUGGCCCACCUGUGCUGAGAGAGGUGACUGUCCUUUGUCACGAACGUGAGAGGGGCACGCUUUGUCUGGAAUAUCCACUCUGACGGUGUCAGGAGAAGCCACCUUACUGUAAGACCGUGCACCUGCCGUAUACGUGCUUGACUGAUAUCAUUCGCCUCAAAUUCCGUACCUGUGGAAGAAGGAAGGAAGGCUGGAAUUACAUACUUACCGGAGGAGACUUACCGGACCCCUCACUUGCCAAACACAUCCCCACCUCAAGGCUGUGUAUCUGCCGUGUACGGACCUGACCGAUAUCCAUCCGUCCCAAAUUCUGCAUCUGUGAAGAAGGGAAGGGAGUUUGGAAGUAUUUAAUUACCAGAGGAGACUUACCAGACUGCGGGCUUGCCGAUUGUAUUCCCACCUGUGAAAUACCUACUUGACCACCCAUCUGUCCAUCUAUUGCGGGGCCCGCACAGAGGAAGAGGGCGGGAGAGUCCCCGGUCGCUGCAUUGUUUACCUUCAAGCCCUGAGGGUAACAAAGAAGAUUUUAGUUUAGGAUUCCCAAUUUGUUUUUACUU